UAUUUAAUUAAUUCUAUUAAUAAUUAUAUACUUAUUUCAAAGAUUAAAUUAUAUAUAUUUAAAUUUAAGUAAUUAAAUUAUAAAAUUGUAAAUAGCUUAUUAAAUUAAUUAUAAUUUAUUUAAUAGUACCUUAUUAUAUAGAUAACUAUAGUAAUUCUAGAGUUAAUAUAUACUAAAAACCCCGACUUUGGAAGGGGUAUAUUUAUUAAAUUAAAAACUAAUGCCCUUCGGGGCUAAUUAGUAAUUUAUAAUAACUUCUCGAAUUAUAUAGCCUUAUACUAGCGAUAGUUUAUUUAAAUUUCUACCCUAUUAAUUUUCGACGGUUGGGUUUUGGCUAGCUAUAGUAAUAAUAGGUAAUGGAGGGUUAAAGUUUAAUUCCGGAGAAGGAGUUUGAGAAACGGCUACUAUAUUUAAGGAAGGUAGUAGGUAUAUAAAUUAUCUAAUUCUAAUAUAAGGAGGUAGUAAUAAUAAAUAUUAAUAUAGGGCUCUUUUAGGUCUUAUAAUUAGAAUAAAUAUAAUUUAAAUCCUUUAACGAAAAAUAAUUGGAGGGUAAAUUUAAUACUAGUAGCCGCAGUAAUUCUAGCUCUAAUAGCGUAUAUUAAAGUUAUUGAGGUUAAAAAGUUUAUAAUUGAACCUUGGGUUUAAUCCGUUGGUCCGCCUUAUUAUAUAUAUUAAUUGGGUCGGGCCUUUUUUCUUGGAGAAUUGUAUACCCUUUACUAGGUAUAUUGGAGAAUUAGGACUUUUACUAUAAAUAAAUUAAAUUAUUUAAAGAAGGCCUAUAUUCGAAUAUAUUAGUAUAGAAUAAUAGAAUAGAAUAUAUAGUUUUAUUUUAUUAAUUUUUAGGAUUAUUAUAAUAAUUAAUAGGGAUAAUCGGGGGUAUUAGUAUUUAAUUAUUAAAGGUAAAAUUCUUAAAUUUAUUAAAAAUUAACUAUUAUAAAAGUAUUUACUAAAGAUAUUUUUAUUAAUUAGGAACGAAAGUUAAGGGAUUAAAGACAAUUAGAUACUAUUAUAGUUUUAAUUAUAAAUUAUACUAAUUAAGGAUUAGACGGUAUUAUUUUUUAACCCGUUCGGUACCUUAUAAUAAAUUAAAAUAUUUAAGCUCCUAAGGGAAUAUAGUUGUAAGGUUAAAAUUUAAAGAAAUUAACGGAAGGGUACUACUAGAGGUAGAGCCUACGGUUUAAUUUAAUUUAAUAUAGGGAAAUUUAUUAAAUUUAAAUAUAAUAAAGAUUAAUAAAUUAAGAGUUCUUUCUUAAUUUUAUAGGUAGUAGUAUAUAACUGUUUUUAGUUAGUAAAGUAAUUUAUUUGUUUAAUUAUAAUAACGAACGAGAUUUUAAUUUAUUAAAUAGUUUGUAUUAUUUUAGUAGUACGCUAGCUUCUUAAAGGGACUAUCGGCUUAAGCCAAUAGAAGUUUAAAGUAAUAAUAGGUUUAUAAUACCUUUAAAUAUUCUAAGCUGUAUGUACGUUAUAUUAAUAUAAUUAAUAAAUACUCCCUUAGCCGGAAAGUUUAAGUAAUUUUGUUAAAUUGUAUUAUAUUAGGGAUAGAGUAUUGUAAUUAUUACUCUUUAACGAGGAAUCCCUAAUAAGCGUAAAUUAUUAAUUUACAUUAAUUAUAUCCCUACCUUUUAUAUAUACCGCCCGUUAUUACUAUUAAUUAAAUAGUUUAGUAAAGUUUCCGGACUAAUUUAAGGAGGUUGGUAACAAUUACUUAAGGCCGGAAAACUAUUUAAAUUUAGUUAUUUAGAGGAAGUAAAAAUUGUAAUAAAAUCUCUAUUAGUAAAUUAGUAGAAGGAUUAUUA
This is a ribosomal RNA of Neurospora crassa OR74A, 1796 nucleotides long. It matches the Rfam family "Eukaryotic small subunit ribosomal RNA". NCBI's taxonomy places the organism in Eukaryota, Fungi, Ascomycota, Sordariomycetes, Sordariales, Sordariaceae. The record is from Rfam.